This 636-nucleotide unclassified non-coding RNA is filed under the name Bombus terrestris (buff-tailed bumblebee). Its description in RNAcentral is "misc RNA ENSBTSG00005026764.1". Lineage: Eukaryota; Metazoa; Arthropoda; Insecta; Hymenoptera; Apidae. The record is from RNAcentral.
AGCGAGCGCGAAAAAACGAUGUCGAAGGCGAGACAAGCGAAAAAGUGGCGGGAAGGUUAAUUUAUUCGCGACAAGUGACGCCGGGUCGUUUGGAGGUUGAAGCUCGGAGGUUGUGGAAGCUUCUCUGGUCGCAGACAUAAAAUGCGGGGCCCUGAUGUCGAGUCAAGGGUACGUGAGAGUGAUACACGACUUCCACAGGCCUGCUCGUGUUCGGCCGUGAUGGCUCGGUCUCGCGGACUGCUUCACCUUGAACGAUUCGCGGAGUUUAUGGCUUACGGAGCCACGCGUCGCGUCGGCAAAAGAGCUGCGUUGUCUUGGACACGUGGGAGUAGACCGGCAAUCGCGGCGACCCGGCUUGACCGUGCCGCACAUUUGCGGUAAGAAGAAGCCGCGAGCUACGAUCCGCUGGAUCGUACGUUUUUCUGCUAGCCUAACCGCACUGUGAAAACCAUCGCAUAAGAGCCAUGAGAACGCCACGAACGAACAAGGAUGGAGAGAUGGGAAAACUAAAGUGACCGCACGGUCCACGCGGCGAAAAGGGGUGAAUUGCACACCGGAUACUCGUCGGUCGGCAAUUUGAGUUAUGAUGCCGACGCUCUAUAAUCGUUAAUUAAAGCCGGCUAUAAUCUUGUUUCA